AUGAAACUUUUAUUGAGCUACAAGGCCCAUGCCGUCGAGCGGCUCAUUGCUUGGAAGGGUCUGGAUGACCCAUCCUCUGGGGAUUUCUCAUGCGGUGGCGACCCUAGCUCGCCGACCCUUCAGAGGCUAAUUUGGCAGGGGACCACGCCAUAUUCUCGCAGCAAUGUGGUUAAUGGCGUGUCGGUGUCUGGCGGCACAUACCUCAGCAACGCCAGCUCCAUUGUGUAUGAAACAAACAUCAAGCUGGGCGAUGAGUUCUACUAUAUGUUCACUGUCUCUGAUGGUUUACCGUUCACGCGUUUGACGCUUGACUACACAGGCACGCUGAAGUCUCUAAAUUGGAACAGCCACUAA
Molecule: ribosomal RNA, 354 nt
Filed under: Triticum aestivum (bread wheat)
Lineage: Eukaryota; Viridiplantae; Streptophyta; Magnoliopsida; Poales; Poaceae
Description: partial small subunit ribosomal RNA
Source: RNAcentral